This 1238-nucleotide ribosomal RNA is filed under the name Gyalecta truncigena. RNAcentral's name for it is "partial large subunit ribosomal RNA". It matches the Rfam family "Eukaryotic large subunit ribosomal RNA", at positions 103 to 1357 of the family's 3401-position model. Lineage: Eukaryota; Fungi; Ascomycota; Lecanoromycetes; Ostropales; Gyalectaceae. The record is from RNAcentral.
AACAGCUCAAAUUUGAAAUCUGGCUUCNUCCCGGGGUCCGAGUUGUAAUUUGCAGAUUGGUGCCUUCGGGGUGACGACGNUCUAUGUUCCCUGGAACGGGGCGUCAUAGAGGGUGAGAAUCCCGUACGCGAUCGCCCGUCCCCCCGGUGUNAGGCCCUUUCGACGAGUCGAAUUGUUUGGGAAUGCAGUUCAAAAUGGGUGGUAAAUUUCAUCUAAAGCUAAAUACCGGCCGGAGACCGAUAGCGCACAAGUAGAGUGAUCGAAAGGUGAAAAGCACUUUGGAAAGAGAGUUAAACAGUACGUGAAAUUGUUGAAGGGGAAGCGCUUGCGACCAGACUCGCGCGCGGGCGCUCAACCUCCCUCCGGGGAGGUGCACUCGUCCGCGCUCGGGCCAGCAUCGGUUNCGGCCGCCGGACGAAGGUUCGGGGAACGUAGCUCCCCCUCGGGNGAGUGUUAUAGCCCCGUUCGGAAUGCGGCGCGCCGGGUCCGAAGACCGCGCUUCGGCUAAGAUGCUGGNGUAAUGGNNNNCAGCGACCCGUCUUGAAACACGGACCAAGGAGUCGACCAAUCAUGCGAGNGUUNGGGCANCANACCCNNUCGCGCANNAAAAGNGNNCGCNGNNGNGNNCCCCCUCGGGGGCGCACCAUCGACCGAUCNUGAUGUCUUCGGAUGGAUUUGAGUACGAGCACGGCUGGUCGGACCCGAAAGAUGGUGAACUAUACNUGGNUAGGGUGAAGNCAGAGGAAACUCUGNUGNAGGCUCGCAGCGGUUCUGACGUGCAAAUCGAUCGUCAAANUUGUGUAUAGGGGCGAAAGACUAAUCGAACCAUCUAGUAGCUGGUUCCCGUCGAAGUUUCCCUCAGGAUAGCAGUGAUCUUUUCAGUUGNAUACGGUAGAGCAACGUUUGGAGGCCUGGGGGAAUUAAGUUCCUUCACCUACUCACGAACUGCGAAUGUGUNCGAAGACUUUGUUGCUUAGUUGAACGAAGUCACUNGAAUGCACGAUCACUAGUGGGCCUCUUUUGGUAAGCAGAAUAGGCGAUGCGGGAUGAACCGAANGCGAAGUUANGNNGCCGGAAUGUACGCGAAAAGAUACCACAAAGCGCGUUANUUCAUCNGGACAGCCGGACGGUGGCCAUGGAAGUCGGAANCCGCUAAGGAGUGUGUAACAACUCACCGGCCGAAUGAAUUAGCCGCGAAAAUGGAUGGCGCUCAGCGUACUANCUAUACUUCGCCGCCA